AUUCUAUGAUGAAUUCCUUUCUUUCAGUUCUGCUUCUGCAAGCUCAUUGAAGAAAACCAUUUACCAUACCAAAAACAUCCUGAUCU
RNAcentral lists this small nucleolar RNA (86 nucleotides) under Rasamsonia emersonii CBS 393.64. Lineage: Eukaryota; Fungi; Ascomycota; Eurotiomycetes; Eurotiales; Trichocomaceae. The record is from RNAcentral.